RNAcentral lists this transfer RNA (72 nucleotides) under Acidobacteriota bacterium. RNAcentral's name for it is "tRNA-Gln". It matches the Rfam family "tRNA". From Rfam's summary of the family: Transfer RNA (tRNA) molecules are approximately 80 nucleotides in length. Their secondary structure includes four short double-helical elements and three loops (D, anti-codon, and T loops). Further hydrogen bonds mediate the characteristic L-shaped molecular structure. tRNAs have two regions of fundamental functional importance: the anti-codon, which is responsible for specific mRNA codon recognition, and the 3' end, to which the tRNAs corresponding amino acid is attached (by aminoacyl-tRNA synthetases). tRNAs cope with the degeneracy of the genetic code in two manners: having more than one tRNA (with a specific anti-codon) for a particular amino acid; and 'wobble' base-pairing, i.e. permitting non-standard base-pairing at the 3rd anti-codon position. Lineage: Bacteria; Pseudomonadati; Acidobacteriota. The record is from RNAcentral.
UGGGGAGUGGUCUAAUGGCAAGACACAGGUUUUUGGUGCCUUGAGAUUUCGGUUCGAAUCCGGACUCCCCAG